RNAcentral lists this ribosomal RNA (447 nucleotides) under uncultured bacterium. Its description in RNAcentral is "bacterial SSU rRNA". It matches the Rfam family "Bacterial small subunit ribosomal RNA", at positions 355 to 825 of the family's 1533-position model. The record is from RNAcentral.
UCGGGAAUUUUGGGCAAUGGGCGAGAGCCUGACCCAGCAACGCCGCGUGAAGGAUGAAGUAUUUCGGUAUGUAAACUUCGAAAGAAUAGGAAGAAUAAAUGACGGUACUAUUUAUAAGGUCCGGCUAACUACGUGCCAGCAGCCGCGGUAAUACGUAGGGACCAAGCGUUGUUCGGAUUUACUGGGCGUAAAGGGCGCGUAGGCGGCAAUUCAAGUCAUCUGUGAAAUCUCCGGGCUUAACUCGGAACGGUCAGAUGAUACUGCUUUGCUAGAGUGCAGAAGGGGCAAUCGGAAUUCUUGGUGUAGCGGUGAAAUGCGUAGAUAUCAAGAGGAACACCUGAGGUGAAGACGGGUUGCUGGGCUGACACUGACGCUGAGGCGCGAAAGCCAGGGGAGCAAACGGGAUUAGAUACCCCCGUAGUCCCUGAGCGGGCUGGCAAGGCGCAU